GCUGGGCAGGGUGGCUCAUGCCUGUAAUCCCAGCACUUUGGGAGGCCGAGGCGGGUGGAUCACCUGAGGUCAGGAGUUCCAGACCAGCCUGGCCAACAUGGUGAAACCCCGUCUCUA
Unclassified non-coding RNA from Papio anubis (olive baboon), 117 nucleotides. It matches the Rfam family "Metazoan signal recognition particle RNA". From Rfam's summary of the family: The signal recognition particle (SRP) is a universally conserved ribonucleoprotein. It is involved in the co-translational targeting of proteins to membranes. NCBI's taxonomy places the organism in Eukaryota, Metazoa, Chordata, Mammalia, Primates, Cercopithecidae. The record is from Ensembl.